This 212-nucleotide non-coding RNA is filed under the name Staphylococcus epidermidis NIHLM039. RNAcentral's name for it is "partial 23S ribosomal RNA". It matches the Rfam family "Bacterial large subunit ribosomal RNA", at positions 2711 to 2925 of the family's 2925-position model. The record is from RNAcentral. RNAcentral also lists the same sequence under 1 other name. Lineage: Bacteria; Bacillati; Bacillota; Bacilli; Caryophanales; Staphylococcaceae.
GGUGUACCAGUUGUCGUGCCAACGGCAUAGCUGGGUAGCUAUGUAUGGACGGGAUAAGUGCUGAAAGCAUCUAAGCAUGAAGCCCCCCUCAAGAUGAGAUUUCCCAACUUCGGUUAUAAGAUCCCUCGAAGAUGACGAGGUUAAUAGGUUCGAGGUGGAAGCGUGGUGACACGUGGAGCUGACGAAUACUAAUCGAUCGAAGACUUAAUCAA